Triticum aestivum (bread wheat) is the source of this 1367-nucleotide long non-coding RNA. RefSeq lists it as uncharacterized. Lineage: Eukaryota; Viridiplantae; Streptophyta; Magnoliopsida; Poales; Poaceae. The transcript is spliced from 4 exons. The record is from RefSeq and is a predicted model, not a curated record.
CUCCCAAAUCUCCAUGGCCCGCUGCGCGCCACCACCCCGCCGUGCCCCUACCGGCCCUGCUUCGCUGCGUCACCUCUACUUUCCCUUCUCUACCACAUCGGUGACCAAGGCGGACCAUCUGGCGGUGGACACGAUGUCCUCUCGCGGAUCUGACUGCCGCCACCACCGUCGCCUCCUCAACGCCACCUCGACCUCGAGCUCCUCCUCGACGCGGUUUUUCCCGGCGAGCUCCUCCCUGAUGGCCCCCUCCUCUCCUGCAUCUCGAGCACUAUGGCGAGGACAACGGCAUCCACCUCGCCGCUAGAUCAAGAUCGCAUCCACCACCUCGACUUCUCUCCAAAGGUUGACCAUGCUAGCAGUGGCAGAGCUUGAAAGAAAUCUAAGGAGGGGCAAAGAUAAAACAAAAAAUCAAAUACAAAAUCAUACGACUGUAAGGGAUGCAAGCGGACAGCGUCUGCAUAUCCGCGAAGCAAAAAUUGCACUAUCUUUGUUACUUUAACAACCAUGUACCAAGGAUUGUUUAGAGACUACAUUGUUGUUUUCUAGCUUGGAGAAGCAACAUCAACUUGGGGUGCAGAUUCACCAGUAUAUGUACAUGCGUCUCAUGGGGGGGAGCUCUUGCACGGGUGUAAGACCAUUUUGCUUCUGUCAGUUAUAGAUUUUAGAGUGAUGAUUUGCUUAAAUUCGUUUCCAUGCAUAAAAUCAACAUCUAAUGGAGUAUUAGCAAAUUAUUUUACCUUUGUUAUUGUAACUGGGAGCUAUGAAUACCAUAUCAAUAGAUUUAGUAUAUUUUGAUUGCAUAGUUUCUUUUCUGCUAUUUUCUGGAGCUUAAAUUCAGCUGAAACUUUACAGAACUAGGGAACACUAAUCCAUAGAGCUAUCCUUUCCUUUGCUUUGUUUUUCCUAUAGAACAGAGUAAGCAUGAUAUGAGUAGUGUAUACGGAACACAUCGCUUAACUGGCCAUGUAUGUAUUUUAAUGUAUUUGAGACACGGCUAAUGUACAAGUUGAUUUACAUGAGCAUGCCCAUGUAUAUUUUCACAACCGGGCCCUUAUCUUGCAGAUCCUUGAAACGAGCCAAGAACCACUAAAUUUGUGUGCUCAGGAACAUGCAGAUCAUGACCAUAAUGUCACUUUGGAUGCUUCUCCCCAAGAUUUGAAUCUGGAGCCUGACGCAAGUGUUGCAGGGACGGUUGGAUUUUUAUUGAUAAUGCAUUUGGAACUAACUCACUCAGCUUUGUCUCUCCUGGGAAGGUAACCUCUUGAGAGUUAAUGAUUUUGGGUACAUGUAUAGAUAGCAUGUUGUAACAAGUAUUUUUGAUACUCAGCGUGACCAACAUUGCUUGUACAUAUUGUUCAAGGUGUUCU